UUUUCAUCCUGUGGGUUUCACCUUAGCUCGAACAUCAUGUCUAGUUCUAAUGGUGCCGAAGAGAAUUCCCACAACAAGCCUCGGACAUCUCCUUACCCGGGUUCCAAAGUCCAACGCAGCCAAGUUCCUAAUGAGAAAGCAGGCUGGUUUGUUGAGCGGCAAGACUAUAAUCCUGUGGAAUACACUGCAGUCUCUGUCUUGGCAGGACCGAAGUGGGCAGAUCCUCAGAUCAGUGAAAGUAACUUCUCUCCCAAGUUUAAUGAAAAGGAUGGGCAUGUUGAGAGAAAGAGCCAGAAUGGUUUGUAUGAGAUUGAAAAUGGAAGACCCAGAAAUCCUGCAGGACAGACAGGACUGGUUGGCCGGGGGCUUCUGGGGCGAUGGGGCCCAAAUCAUGCUGCAGAUCCCAUCAUAACCAGGUGGAAAAGGGAUAGAAGUGGAAAUAAAAUCACCCACCCCGUUUCUGGGAAAAACAGAAACUGCUUACAGUUUGUGGCAAUAAAAAGGAAAGACUGUGGGGCAUGGGCAAUCCCAGGGGGGAUGGUGGAUCCAGGAGAGAAGAUUAGUGUUACACUUAAUAGAGAGUUUGGUGAAGAAGCUCUCAACUCCUUACAGAAAUCCGGUGCGGAGAAGAGAGAAUUAGAGGAACAGUUGCACAAACUCUUCAGCCAGGAACAUCUAGUGAUAUAUAAGGGAUAUGUUGAUGAUCCUCGAAACACUGAUAAUGCAUGGAUGGAGACAGAAGCUGUGAACUACCAUGAUGAAACAGGUGAGAUAAUGGAUAACCUUACCCUAGAAGCUGGAGAUGAUGCUGGAAAAGUGAAAUGGGUGGACAUCAGUGAUCGACUCCAGCUUUAUGCCAGUCACUCUCAAUUUAUCAAACUUGUGGCCGAGAAGCGAGAUGCACACUGGAGUGAGGACUCUGAAACUGAGUGCUGCGGGUUGUAGCCCGCAUUGCUGUGGGAGCCACAGGCCAGCAAAGGGGUGCAUGCUGAAAAGAAGGCGGUAUCACAGAGCUCAUCCUACAGGAGGGCAGGGUCGGUCACUUGGAAAUUAUUUUAUUCACUUUCAGAGCUAUUUGCAUUUAGAAGGUUCACAUCAGAAUAAAAUUAGUAAAUAUGGUGAAAUGCAACACAGAAUUUUCUGCUUUCUAAUCAAAAGAAAUAUAAACAAUCAUUUUGUAUGUAUUCUAUUUAAGCAUAGCUUAAACCAACUCUAAACAACUGAUGGUCUUUGAAGAAUCAUAAUCUGAAUAAAGAUAUAUUUA
Molecule: non-coding RNA, 1264 nt
Organism: Callorhinus ursinus (northern fur seal)
Lineage: Eukaryota; Metazoa; Chordata; Mammalia; Carnivora; Otariidae
Source: RefSeq, a predicted model, not a curated record